AGAGUUUGAUCCUGGCUCAGAUUGAACGCUGGCGGAAUGCUUUACACAUGCAAGUCGAACGGCAGCACGGGGCAACCUGGUGGCGAGUGGCGAACGGGUGAGUAAUACAUCGGAACGUGCCCAAUCGUGGGGGAUAACGUAGCGAAAGUUACGCUAAUACCGCAUACGAUCUACGGAUGAAAGCGGGGGAUCGCAAGACCUCGCGCGAAUGGAGCGGCCGAUGUCAGAUUAGGUAGUUGGUGGGGUAAAGGCUCACCAAGCCGACGAUCUGUAGCUGGUCUGAGAGGACGACCAGCCACACUGGGACUGAGACACGGCCCAGACUCCUACGGGAGGCAGCAGUGGGGAAUUUUGGACAAUGGGCGAAAGCCUGAUCCAGCCAUUCCGCGUGCAGGAUGAAGGCCCUCGGGUUGUAAACUGCUUUUGUACGGAACGAAACGGCUCUUUCUAAUACAGGGGGCUAAUGACGGUACCGUAAGAAUAAGCACCGGCUAACUACGUGCCAGCAGCCGCGGUAAUACGUAGGGUGCAAGCGUUAAUCGGAAUUACUGGGCGUAAAGCGUGCGCAGGCGGUUAUGUAAGACAGAUGUGAAAUCCCCGGGC
Molecule: ribosomal RNA, 603 nt
Filed under: uncultured bacterium
Lineage: Bacteria
Description: bacterial SSU rRNA
Rfam family: Bacterial small subunit ribosomal RNA
Source: RNAcentral